RNAcentral lists this long non-coding RNA (906 nucleotides) under Eucalyptus grandis. Its description in RNAcentral is "long non-coding RNA (EGRA_LNC003038)". Lineage: Eukaryota; Viridiplantae; Streptophyta; Magnoliopsida; Myrtales; Myrtaceae. The record is from RNAcentral.
AGCGAAGAUUGGAACACCACGAUAAUGAUGCGACGGUGGCGGAAUUCCAAAAUUUCGGCGGCGACGAUAGAUAUUCGGCCCGGGCCAAGAAACUUUGCAAGCCCGCAGAAAUUCUGGGCCUGGGGCCUACUGAAAGUCUUGGGCUGAGCUUGGUUUGGGCUUCAAGAAUUUCGCUGGGCUUUGCUGAACUCAACUGGGCUUGGGCUGGAAAUAGCUGGGCUGAUCGAAGAUGGGCUGAGGACGGGCCCAACUGCUGGGCCAAAAUCCACGUGGGCUGCAGGAUGAAGACUCGCUAGAUUGCUGGCCGUGCGAAGAUGGACGACCGACAGCAGCCUCGGCGGAUCGUUGGACGAAGACGGUGGACUGCUCAGUGGAAUCGUGGGCGAUGGAGUCAACUUCGGCCGAAUGGUUUCGCUGGAGUCUUGACCGAAAGAAGCAGGAUGAUGCGUGGGGCUGCAGCAGAUGAAGACACGAGGACGCCGAUUUGAUUCUGUGGUCAAAGAUGCAACUUCGGUGGGGAUGCUAGCGACACGAAGAGAAACAGGGCAAUCGGUGGACUUUGGCUGCAGAGAAACGUGGAGUGGCAGGCAGCAGCACGUGAAGGGAGAACUCGGUGGAAGUGCCGCGCGUGAGAUGAGCUGCAGGGGCGCACGAUGGAGUUCGGUGGAGUGGCAAGCUGACGAUGGUGAUGGCGGUGGAGCAGGGAUCCGAAAAGAGAAAUGAAAGCAACGCCAAAACAGAAGCAGCUGCUGGCGCCAGGGAUUGAACGGUGGUCAACUUCGGUGAUCUUCCAUGCUAGCUUGUUGACCGGAGGGGGGCACGAUCUGGUGGAAGCUUGGACGCGGCAGUGGCUGGGUUGUUUUCGGUGAAGGAAGAAGCAAAAUUGAGGGAGCCGAGGGAGAGAAC